This is a long non-coding RNA of Anopheles merus, 2499 nucleotides long. RefSeq lists it as uncharacterized. The transcript is spliced from 4 exons. Lineage: Eukaryota; Metazoa; Arthropoda; Insecta; Diptera; Culicidae. The record is from RefSeq and is a predicted model, not a curated record.
CUGUGUGCGUGUGUGUGUGUGUGGUUGGCAGAAAUUCUUUCCGGUGCGUUUUGCUUUGGAAGUGGCAAUUUAAACAAUUCGCGGUGCGAAAGCGCGAGCGCCGAAGGAUGAACAUGCAGCAAAGCGCCGAACGACCGCAUCCCCGUCACAGGACGGGGCAGCACAAGGGAGGAAAAGAGAGGAGCGAAAAAGUUUUCCUUCCCUCCCCUCCCCCGGUCUCGAGCGCUCCCGGGAAAAACUUCGUCAGCUGUAUAUAAAUCGAUUUUUCUCCGCAAUGCUCUCGCUCCUCCCCCCCCCCCAUACGGAAUGCAAGAAAACCCGGAAGCAACCGGCGCACACCGAGUGCGCCCUUACCCGACCGGAGCAACACCCACGGGAAGGACGCGAGCACGAACCCUGUCUGUGGCUGGUGGUGUUGGCUAUGUACACGAGUUGUGUGCAUCUGUACUCACCUACACACACAGAGAAAGCACUCACACCAGGGGGAAAAAAACGGGACAGCGAGCGAUAAACCAAGCGGUGUGACGUCGUCGUCCUUCUGCCGACGAAGACACACCCGCCUCUUCCGCACCAGACGGUUCCACAAGCCGGAAGAGACGUCCCGGAAAACAGCGUGCCAGCCAGCCAGCCAGCCAGGCUCGCGGAGUCAGCCUGUCAGUCAGUACGUGUGGGAAGUUGGGCGCCCUUACCCAACGCGGUAAAUGCGCACCACGGUCGGGAAUUUUCCCGACACACGCACACAGCGGAACCGGCGAGCCGGCGAGAGGGUGAGACUUUUCCCGACCCGAACAUUGCGUAGGACAUGAGCGGGAAGGAGCAGCACGUGCGAAAAAGGGACGACCGUACCUCCACUGGACUGGUGUGGUGUGAAUAUCUAUCCUACACACUAAGCAACGAACCCACACGUAAGCGCUUCCGUGUACGGCGACGAUGUCUACUACCACACUUACGUCGCACUUCCGCUCGUAUCGCCGACACGCGUCCUGGCAACGUGCACGAAGGCUAUGACCAACCCCAACGGCCAGACGGCAUUGAGGCCCACUCGGGCCCUUCGGUGGAUGCCGACGGCUGCCGCGCACCAGCGGAUGAGGGAUGUCUGUGUGUCGUGCCCCACCCACCCAAGCAGCGGGUGUGCAUGUGUGUGUGUCUGUGUGUGUGUGCAGGUGCGGAGCAGAAGCCACCUUUUUCUGCACAUGGAAUGGCAACGGCGACGGCGGCGGCGGCCCUCUUUCCACAGCAUUUAAAAAGCGCAGACAAAAUCGAUAUUUUUAGCCGGUGAGACUUUUGUUGCUUUCGGUGGGCGGCGAACGGGCAAAGCAUUGUGGAGGCAAUGCUACGAGACAUCCCUGUGUGUGUGUGUGCGUGUGAGGGAGAGAGAGAGAGAGUUGGUGGAGUUCUGUGGUCGGCUCCACCAUCGCACUGGCCGUCUGCCAGCGCAACCUGUGCCAAAUAGGGGCGAAAAGUGUGGUGAUUGCAGCAGAAACACACACACACACAGCCACACAUACACACACAACACACCAUCAAACAUGAAACAUGAAAAUUGCAUUCCUCAGGCCUCCCUCCACCGAGCCAGCCAGCGUGUCCAACGGUUCAUCGAUUUAUUCGAAGAAAAUUCAAAAAUCGUCCCGGAAAUGCCGGAAACGACAGAAACGGGAACGGGUUCGUUUUGUUCAACUUUUCGGGCUUUCCUGGAACCGACGGUACACACCGCCACUCCACGUGUCCCGUGCUUCCUGGGGGAGGCGAUGGGGGGAAAGGAUUUAUGAUGUUUUUCUGCCUUGCUCGGCAACACCCAUUCUCACACCAGAAGUGUCUGAGAUGAUGCUAGGCGAAGAAGGAAGCCGAAUGAAACGGAGGAGGAGCGGGGAGCUGUACUUCACACCCUUUCGUGCUUUCAAAUUCGAUUUAUGUCUCUAGUCGAUAAAUAACCAUUUAGGAUAUAAGAAGACGUGUCUAAUGAGUAGGACGCUUCUGUCCCUUUUCCGCUGUCCCCUUCGGCGUAGAAGGGAUGCGGCGCUCGGUUUAUAUAAAAUGUUGCAGACUGCAAUGAAAGUGCGUUCUUUAUGUGGCAUGCCAAGUUCCGCCAGGAUUAGGAUCAUUGGAGAGCGAGUGUCUUAAACCCGUUACUCAAACCGAGGAAUUUUGGGAAUAGAAUUAAAUCACUCACAGCAACUUCCUGGUAAUUCAAGAGUAGCUUUCAGCACUUAAAUCAAGAAGUCAGACAACUUUAGAUAACAGCAUUUAGAAAAAUAAUGAUGUGGAUGUGUAAGAUGUUUUCUAGUUCCAGUUUUUAGGUCUUUAAAAUCGUCACCAGCCAUGCUUAUCCAAAGACCGACAGCGAAGAAAAGAACACCAGACGUUGGAUGUCAACAUCUCAAGGUAUCACAAUCCCCACUAUCUCACCUUCAAGACGGGUUUGGAGAGUAACGCACACAAGCUGUAUUUAUGCCGCCGUGAACUGAAAGCCGGAUGUUCAGAUUCCGAUAUCAAGGAUAU